UGAAUACCAGAUACUACGGCGUCGAAGCAGUCUAUGUCAUACUUCCAAGAAAAGCUUGCACUGUCAUAAACAAAUAAUGCCUGUACCAUAACCGACACAGGUGGGUAGGUAGAGUAUACUAAGGGGCGCGAGAUAACUCUCUCUAAGGAACUCGGCAAAAUGACUCCGUAACUUCGGGAGAAGGAGUGCCUUCUUUAGAAGGUUGCAAUAACAAGAUCCAAGCAACUGUUUACCAAAAACACAGGUCUCCGCUAAGUCGUAAGACGAUGUAUGGGGGCUGACGCCUGCCCAGUGCCAGAAGGUUAAAGAAGUUGGUUAGCAUUCGCGAAGCUGAUAACUGAAGCCCUGGUGAACGGCGGCCGUAACUAUAACGGUCCUAAGGUAGCGAAAUUCCUUGUCGGGUAAGUUCCGACCCGCACGAAAGGCGUAAUGAUUUGGAUACUGUCUCGGAGAGGGACUCGGUGAAAUAGACUUGUCUGUGAAGAUGCGGACUACCUGCACCUGGACAGAAAGACCCUAUGAAGCUUUACUGUAACUUGAAAUUGAAAUUGGACUUUAUUUGCGCAGUAUAGGUGGGAGGCCUUGAGAAUAAUCUUGCGGGAUUAUUGGAGCCAUCAGUGAGAUACCACUCUUGUAAUGUUAGAUUUCUAACUUUGGAUCAUGAUCUGGUCAAAGAACAGUUUCAGGCGUGCAGUUUGACUGGGGCGGUCGCCUCCCAAAUGGUAACGGAGGCGCACAAAGGUUUCCUCUGAACGGGUAGAAAUCGUAUCUAGAGUGUAAAGGCAUAAGGAAGCUUGACUGUGAGACCUACAAGUCGAGCAGGGACGAAAGUCGGUCUUAGUGAUCUGACGGUGCUGAGUGGAAAGGCCGUCACUCAACGGAUAAAAGUUACUCUAGGAUAACAGGCUGAUCUCCCCCAAGAGUUCACAUCGACGGGGAGGUUUGGCACCUCGAUGUCGGCUCAUCGCAUCCUGGGGCGGUAGUACGUCCCAAGGGUUGGGCUGUUCGCCCAUGAAAGCGGUACGCGAGCUGGGUUCAGAACGUCGUGAGACAGUUCGGUCCAUAUCCGGUGUAGGCGUUAGAAUAUUGAGAGGAGCCUUCUCUAGUACGAGAGGACCGAGAAGGACAUACCUCUGGUGUACCAGUUAUCGUGCCAACGGUAAACGCUGGGUAGCUAUGUAUGGAGUGGAUAACCGCUGAAAGCAUCUAAGUGGGAAGCCCACCUCAAGAUAAGUAUUC
RNAcentral lists this ribosomal RNA (1239 nucleotides) under metagenome. RNAcentral describes it as "bacterial LSU rRNA". It matches the Rfam family "Bacterial large subunit ribosomal RNA", at positions 1564 to 2813 of the family's 2925-position model. The record is from RNAcentral.